AACGAACGCUGGCGGCAGGCCUAACACAUGCCAGUCGAGCGGACCUUUCGGGGUCAGCGGCGGACGGGUGAGUAACGCGUGGGAAUAUGCCCUUCUCUUCGGAAUAGUCCUGGGAAACUGGGGGUAAUACCGUAUACGCCCUUUGGGGGAAAGAUUUAUCGGGGAAGGAUUAGCCCGCGUUGGAUUAGGUAGUUGGUGGGGUAAUGGCCUGCCAAGCCGACGAUCCAUAGCUGGUUUGAGAGGAUGAUCAGCCACACUGGGACUGAGACACGGCCCAGACUCCUACGGGAGGCAGCAGUGGGGAAUCUUAGACAAUGGGGGCAACCCUGAUCUAGCCAUGCCGCGUGAGUGAUGAAGGCCUUAGGGUUGUAAAGCUCUUUCAGCUGGGAAGAUAAUGACGGUACCAGCAGAAGAAGCCCCGGCUAACUCCGUG
RNAcentral lists this ribosomal RNA (433 nucleotides) under uncultured bacterium. RNAcentral's name for it is "partial 16S ribosomal RNA". It matches the Rfam family "Bacterial small subunit ribosomal RNA", at positions 29 to 507 of the family's 1533-position model. The record is from RNAcentral.